AACGCAUAUUGCGCCCUUUGGUAUUCCGAAGGGCAUGCCUGUUCGAGCGUCAUUAUCAACCCUCAAGCCUGGCUUGUCAUUGAACCUCUUGUCGUUAAAAGACGGGUUCGAAAGAUAAUGACGGUGUCGCGAUUGACCCUAGAUGCAACGAGCUUCACAGCACGCAUGUUAGUGGCCAGCCGGCCCCGGUCUAACCUUAUUUUAAUGGUUGACCUCGGAUCAGGUAGGAUUACCCGCUGAACUUAA
RNAcentral lists this unclassified non-coding RNA (246 nucleotides) under uncultured Eurotiomycetes. Its description in RNAcentral is "sequence contains ITS2". The stretch from base 1 to 52 matches the Rfam family "5.8S ribosomal RNA", at positions 103 to 154 of the family's 154-position model. The record is from RNAcentral. Lineage: Eukaryota; Fungi; Ascomycota; Eurotiomycetes.